This 496-nucleotide ribosomal RNA is filed under the name uncultured bacterium. RNAcentral describes it as "partial 16S ribosomal RNA". It matches the Rfam family "Bacterial small subunit ribosomal RNA", at positions 28 to 507 of the family's 1533-position model. The record is from RNAcentral.
GAUGAACGCUGGCGGCGUGCCUAAUACAUGCAAGUCGAGCGAACAGACGAGGAGCUUGCUCCUCUGACGUUAGCGGCGGACGGGUGAGUAACACGUGGAUAACCUACCUAUAAGACUGGGAUAACUUCGGGAAACCGGAGCUAAUACCGGAUAAUAUAUUGAACCGCAUGGUUCAAUAGUGAAAGACGGUUUUGCUGUCACUUAUAGAUGGAUCCGCGCCGCAUUAGCUAGUUGGUAAGGUACGGCUUACCAAGGCAACGAUGCGUAGCCGACCUGAGAGGGUGAUCGGCCACACUGGAACUGAGACACGGUCCAGACUCCUACGGGAGGCAGCAGUAGGGAAUCUUCCGCAAUGGGCGAAAGCCUGACGGAGCAACGCCGCGUGAGUGAUGAGGGUCUUCGGAUCGUAAAACUCUGUUAUUAGGGAAGAACAAAUGUGUAAGUAACUAUGCACGUCUUGACGGUACCUAAUCAGAAAGCCACGGCUAACUACGUG